GAUGAACGCUGGCGGCGUGCCUAAUACAUGCAAGUCGAGCGAACGGACGAGAAGCUUGCUUCUCUGAUGAUAGCGGCGGACGGGUGAGUAACACGUGGAUAACCUACCUAUAAGACUGGGAUAACUUCGGGAAACCGGAGCUAAUACCGGAUAAUAUUUUGAACCGCAUGGUUCAAAAGUGAAAGACGGUCUUGCUGUCACUUAUAGAUGGAUCCGCGCUGCAUUAGCUAGUUGGUAAGGUAACGGCUUACCAAGGCAACGAUGCAUAGCCGACCUGAGAGGGUGAUCGGCCACACUGGAACUGAGACACGGUCCAGACUCCUACGGGAGGCAGCAGUAGGGAAUCUUCCGCAAUGGGCGAAAGCCUGACGGAGCAACGCCGCGUGAGUGAUGAAGGUCUUCGGAUCGUAAAACUCUGUUAUUAGGGAAGAACAUAUGUGUAAGUAACUGUGCACAUCUUGACGGUACCUAAUCAGAAAGCCACGGCUAACUACGU
Molecule: ribosomal RNA, 496 nt
Filed under: uncultured bacterium
Lineage: Bacteria
Description: partial 16S ribosomal RNA
Rfam family: Bacterial small subunit ribosomal RNA
Source: RNAcentral